Molecule: ribosomal RNA, 249 nt
Filed under: uncultured prokaryote
Description: partial 16S ribosomal RNA
Rfam family: Bacterial small subunit ribosomal RNA
Source: RNAcentral
UACGGAGGAUGCAAGCGUUAUCCGGAUUUAUUGGGUUUAAAGGGUGCGCAGGUUGUUUGAUAAGUCAGUGGUGAAAGUCUGUCGCUUAACGGUAGGAUUGCCAUUGAUACUGCUGGACUUGAAUAUGGAUGAGGUAGGCGGAAUGUGUAGUGUAGCGGUGAAAUGCGCAGAUAUCAGGAGGAACACCAAUGGCGAAGGCAGGUCUCUGGGCAGUUACUGACGCUGAGGAGCGAAAGCAUGGGUAGCGAA